AUUAUCUUAACUUAUACAUGAAUACUCAAAAUAAGCAGUUAACGGGAGUUACAAGGAUGUAAACAAAUACCGGUCAAAAUGCACACAAUUCACCACUUCACACAAAAAAUACAAAAAUUACAGAAAGAUCACUUAUCCGGUGAUCAGCAAAGUUCAUAAUACAAGUAAUAAAAACUUACUCUGUGGUAUCAGCACCAUUAUAAAGGAAAUAAAAUGAAUUUCUGUAGUGAAAC
This 233-nucleotide long non-coding RNA is filed under the name Mytilus galloprovincialis (Mediterranean mussel). Lineage: Eukaryota; Metazoa; Mollusca; Bivalvia; Mytilida; Mytilidae. The record is from RNAcentral.